GCGCUGCCCCGCCGGCUCCCGGCCCCUCACGGGAGGGAACAGGCUGCUCCCGUUGGCUUGCGAGGGAUCAGGACAGGAAAGGAAGAAGACGUGUAGGUUUGUUUUUUUUUUUUUUUUCCCCCCCUCUAAAUAUGUGCGCAAAAGUUAAGUUUAUAAACUUGAGAAACGCUGCGUUGUUGGGCGUCGAUAUGAUUCAGGCUAUUAGACGCUUGGCUGAGAGCGAAAAGUGACCUGACCUCAGUACAGUAGAGGCAAGCUGCAGGCAUGUUAUGAACCAGAUGGAUAGAAUACACUCAGUGACAUUGGAGCAACACCCACCACAUUGCCUCAUGGUGUAAAAAGAAACAUCUGAAGAUGUGAGAAGCAGCAGAUCUCUUCAUACAGAGUUCACUGUAGAGCAGAGUGUGCUGUUUUCUCCUCUGGGCUACUGAAAUCAGAAUUGCUGCCUUCCCUGGGACUGAUCUUCUGUGAUGGCCUUGUAGCUCCUUCUGGAGCUGGGGUUGUGGUAAAGUAACCAUCUCCAUGGACUUCCAGUGCCUGACUCAAGACCAGGCCUUUAAGAGGGAAUUUUGCUGGGAGGAAAGCAGAGCAGCACGUUGUACACUGUCACAGAAUCUUAGAAUCCUGCAGGUUGGACAGACCUUUAAUAUCUAGCCCAAGAAUAAACCUCACACUGCCAAAUCCACCACUAAAGCACAUCCCUAAGUGCCACACCUACCUGCCAGUAUGUUCUGGAUAUGGAUGUUCAGUGUUUGUGCUGCACUAGGAUUUGCAUUCUCCAUUUCUCCUCAUUUUCUGGCAAACAGCCUGAAAAGAUUAAAUAUAGAAGUGUCCACACAGGAA
This is a long non-coding RNA of Pyrgilauda ruficollis (rufous-necked snowfinch), 843 nucleotides long. RefSeq lists it as uncharacterized. NCBI's taxonomy places the organism in Eukaryota, Metazoa, Chordata, Aves, Passeriformes, Passeridae. The transcript is spliced from 3 exons. The record is from RefSeq and is a predicted model, not a curated record.